UCGGGAAUUUUGGGCAAUGGGGGCAACCCUGAUCCAGCCAUUCCGCGUGGAUGAUGACGGUCCUAUGGAUUGUAAACUGCUUUUGUACAGGAAGAAACAGUUCUACGUGUAGAACCUUGACGGUACUGUAAGAAUAAGGAUCGGCUAACUCCGUGCCAGCAGCCGCGGUAAUACGGAGGAUCCAAGCGUUAUCCGGAAUCAUUGGGUUUAAAGGGUCCGUAGGCGGUUAGAUAAGUCAGUGGUGAAAGCCCAUCGCUCAACGGUGGAACGGCCAUUGAUACUGUCUGACUUGAAUUAUUAGGAAGUAACUAGAAUAUGUAGUGUAGCGGUGAAAUGCUUAGAGAUUACAUGGAAUACCAAUUGCGAAGGCAGGUUACUACUAAUGGAUUGACGCUGAUGGACGAAAGCGUGGGUAGCGAACAGGAUUAGAUACCCCCGUAGUCCCUGAGCGGGCUGGCAAGGCGCAU
RNAcentral lists this ribosomal RNA (467 nucleotides) under uncultured bacterium. Its description in RNAcentral is "bacterial SSU rRNA". It matches the Rfam family "Bacterial small subunit ribosomal RNA", at positions 355 to 825 of the family's 1533-position model. The record is from RNAcentral.